RNAcentral lists this ribosomal RNA (842 nucleotides) under Arcuatospora yunnanensis. Its description in RNAcentral is "partial large subunit ribosomal RNA". It matches the Rfam family "Eukaryotic large subunit ribosomal RNA", at positions 65 to 943 of the family's 3401-position model. Lineage: Eukaryota; Fungi; Ascomycota; Sordariomycetes; Chaetosphaeriales; Chaetosphaeriaceae. The record is from RNAcentral.
CCAACAGGGAUUGCCUCAGUAACGGCGAGUGAAGCGGCAACAGCUCAAAUUUGAAAUCUGGCCUAGCCCGAGUUGUAAUUUGCAGAGGAUGCUUCUGGUGCGGCGCUGUCCAAGUCCCCUGGAACGGGGCGCCACAGAGGGUGAGAGCCCCGUCUGGUCAGCCGCCAAGCCUGUGUGAAGCUCCUUCGACGAGUCGAGUAGUUUGGGAAUGCUGCUCUAAACGGGAGGUAGACCCCUUCUAAAGCUAAAUAUUGGCCAGAGACCGAUAGCGCACAAGUAGAGUGAUCGAAAGAUGAAAAGCACUUUGAAAAGAGGGUUAAACAGUACGUGAAAUUGUUAAAAGGGAAGCGCUUGUGACCAGACGUGCGCCGGGCGUUCAGCGGGCGUUCUCGCCCGUGUAUUCGUCCCGGCGCAGGCCAGCGUCGGUUUGGACGGGGGGACAAAGGCGUCGGAAAUGUAUCUCCCCCGGGAGUGUUAUAGACCGAUGUGCCAUGCCCCCGUCUGGACCGAGGUUCGCGCUCUGCAAGGACGCUGGCAUAAUGGUCCCCAGCGGCCCGUCUUGAAACACGGACCAAGGAGUCGAGGUUUUGUGCGAGUGUUUGGGUGUAAAACCCGCACGCGUAAUGAAAGUGAACGUAGGUGGGAGCUUAGGCGCACCACCGACCGAUCCUGAUGUUCUCGGAUGGAUUUGAGUAGGAGCACAGGGCCUCGGACCCGAAAGAUGGUGAACUAUACUUGGAUAGGGUGAAGCCAGAGGAAACUCUGGUGGAGGCUCGCAGCGGUUCUGACGUGCAAAUCGAUCGUCAAAUCUGAGUAUGGGGGCGAAAGACUAAUCGAACCAU